CCAAUUUGUCUAUCUAAAAAAAAACUAGAAUGCCAAUUAUACUAAAAAGAAUUAAUUUUGUCUGAUUAUCCAUUAACAUUAUGGAUAGAAUGACAAUUAAGCUCCAAGAAUGAAAAAUUCACCGAUGUUUUGUGUUCUUAAUUUUUAUUUUUUUUUUAAUUCUAAUGCUUGAUGAAGAUAAUCAUUUUUGAAAAGUUAAAGCUUGGCUAAUUAUUUUGUGUUUAGCUAAUUCUUG
RNAcentral lists this long non-coding RNA (235 nucleotides) under Medicago truncatula (barrel medic). Its description in RNAcentral is "long non-coding RNA (MTRU_LNC008855)". Lineage: Eukaryota; Viridiplantae; Streptophyta; Magnoliopsida; Fabales; Fabaceae. The record is from RNAcentral.